Molecule: microRNA precursor, 144 nt
Filed under: Mustela putorius furo (domestic ferret)
Lineage: Eukaryota; Metazoa; Chordata; Mammalia; Carnivora; Mustelidae
Description: miRNA (ENSMPUG00000020644.1)
Source: RNAcentral
AAUCCCAGUUAAAUUUGAAUUUUAGGUAAACAGUGUAUUUUUUAAAAUACGAGUAUAUCUCAUGCAAUAUUGGGGACAUACUUAUACUAAAAACUUGUUUGUUGUCGGUCUGAACUGCAGAUUUAACUGGAUGUCCUCUAAUUU